RNAcentral lists this ribosomal RNA (465 nucleotides) under uncultured bacterium. Its description in RNAcentral is "partial 16S ribosomal RNA". It matches the Rfam family "Bacterial small subunit ribosomal RNA", at positions 338 to 795 of the family's 1533-position model. The record is from RNAcentral.
CCUACGGGCGGCAGCAGUGGGGAAUAUUGCGCAAUGGGCGAAAGCCUGACGCAGCGACGCCGCGUGAGGGAUGAAGGCCUUCGGAUCGUAAACCUCUGUCAGCAGGGAAGAACGGUCACUGUGCUAAUCAGCAGUGAAUUGACGGUACCUGCAAAGGAAGCACCGGCUAACUCCGUGCCAGCAGCCGCGGUAAUACGGAGGGUGCGAGCGUUAAUCGGAAUUACUGGGCGUAAAGCGCUCGUAGGCGGUAUGUCAAGUCAAGGGUGAAAUCCCCGCGCUCAACGUGGGAACUGCCUUUGAAACUGGCAAACUGGAGUGUGUGAGAGGAUAGUGGAAUUCCAGGUGUAGGAGUGAAAUGCGUAGAUAUCUGGAGGAACAUCAGUGGCGAAGGCGACUAUCUGGCACAUAACUGACGCUGAGGAGCGAAAGCGUGGGUAGCAAACAGGAUUAGAUACCCCAGUAGUC